Molecule: long non-coding RNA, 395 nt
Filed under: Brassica napus (rape)
Lineage: Eukaryota; Viridiplantae; Streptophyta; Magnoliopsida; Brassicales; Brassicaceae
Description: long non-coding RNA (BNAP_LNC016733)
Source: RNAcentral
AAUUACUCAAACAUAGCAAAGUAAUUCAUAAACAUAAACUAAAUAAAAUGCAUAAAUAGAUUAAGGUUAGAAAUACUGGAGUUCCAAUACAAAUCUCUGAAGGAAUCUUGGAUCAUCUCUCCAAAUCUACUAAAAACCCUAAGUAUUGUUUGCUGCGAAAAGGAGAAAAUAAGAAAGCGUGUGUUGCAAAUAACAAUGGCACAGCACAUAAUUACUAGGUUAAAAGCGACAGCGGUAAUUCUGUAGUUGUACUGUGACUUAGAUUUAAAUCGGGUGAAACCACAGCCGGGUCUUGCGCGCUUCGCUGUCGAUCGACGGCACAUGAUGUGCGUCGAUCGAUGUUUAUCUCUGAAUGUCGAACUUCGGACUGGUUCAAUGGUAAGCUACGGGUUCUU